UUCCGGUUGAUCCCGCCGGAGAUCACUGCUAUUGGAAUUCGGUUAAGGCAUGCGAGUCGAGAGGGUUCGGCCCUCGGCAGACGGCUCAGUAACACGUGGAUAAUCUGCCCUUAGGUGGGGGAUAAUCUCGAGAAAUUGAGCAUAAUACCCCAUAGUUCUAGAUUACUGGAAUGCUUUUAGAAUGAAAGCUCCGGCGCCUAAGGAUGAGUCUGCGGCCUAUCAGGUUGUAGUGAGUGUAACUGACUCACUAGCCGACGACGGGUACGGGUCCUGGAAGGGAGUGCCCGGAGAUGGACUCUGAGACACGAGUCCAGGCCCUACGGGGCGCAGCAGCUACGAAAACUUCACAAUGCGGGAAACCGCGAUGAGGGGAUUCCAAGUGCUUAUACUUUGUAUAAGCUGUUUACUUGCCUAAAAAGCAGGUAGAGUAAGGGCUGGGUAAGACUGGUGCCAGCCGCCGCGGUAAUACCAGCAGCUCAAGUGGUGAUCGUUUUUAUUGGGCCUAAAGCGUCCGUAGCCGGUUUGGUAAACCCUUGGGUAAAUCGGGCAGCUUAACUGUCCGACUUCUGAGGAGACUGCUAGACUUGGGACCGGGAGAGGUCAGAGGUACUCUUAGGGUAGGGGUGAAAUCCUGUAAUCCUAAGAGGACCACCAGUGGCGAAGGCGUCUGACUAGAACGGGUCCGACGGUAAGGGACGAAGCCCUGGGUCACGAACCGGAUUAGAUACCCGGGUAGUCCAGGGUGUAAACGCUGCGGGCUUGGUGUUGGGGGUCCUACGAGGGCGUCCAGUGCCGGAGAGAAGUUGUUAAGCCCGCCGCCUGGGGAGUACGGUCGCAAGACUGAAACUUAAAAGGAAUUGGCGGGGGAGCACAGCAACGGGUGGAGCGUGCGGUUUAAUUGGAUUCAACGCCGGGA
RNAcentral lists this ribosomal RNA (916 nucleotides) under uncultured archaeon. Its description in RNAcentral is "bacterial SSU rRNA". It matches the Rfam family "Archaeal small subunit ribosomal RNA", at positions 1 to 923 of the family's 1478-position model. The record is from RNAcentral.